Molecule: ribosomal RNA, 698 nt
Filed under: uncultured bacterium
Lineage: Bacteria
Description: bacterial SSU rRNA
Rfam family: Bacterial small subunit ribosomal RNA
Source: RNAcentral
AGAAGACAUCUGAAAGAGAUUAAAGAUUUAUCGGUGAUGGAUGGGGAUGCGUCUGAUUAGCUUGUUGGCGGGGUAACGGCCCACCAAGGCGACGAUCAGUAGGGGUUCUGAGAGGAAGGUCCCCCACAUUGGAACUGAGACACGGUCCAAACUCCUACGGGAGGCAGCAGUGAGGAAUAUUGGUCAAUGGGCGAGAGCCUGAACCAGCCAAGUAGCGUGCAGGAUGACGGCCCUAUGGGUUGUAAACUGCUUUUAUAAGGGAAUAAAGUGAGUCUCGUGAGACUUUUUGCAUGUACCUUAUGAAUAAGGACCGGCUAAUUCCGUGCCAGCAGCCGCGGUAAUACGGAAGGUCCGGGCGUUAUCCGGAUUUAUUGGGUUUAAAGGGAGCGUAGGCCGGAGAUUAAGCGUGUUGUGAAAUGUAGACGCUCAACGUCUGCACUGCAGCGCGAACUGGUUUCCUUGAGUACGCACAAAGUGGGCGGAAUUCGUGGUGUAGCGGUGAAAUGCUUAGAUAUCACGAAGAACUCCGAUUGCGAAGGCAGCUCACUGGAGCGCAACUGACGCUGAAGCUCGAAAGUGCGGGUAUCGAACAGGAUUAGAUACCCUGGUAGUCCGCACGGUAAACGAUGGAUGCCCGCUGUUGGUCUGAAUAGGUCAGCGGCCAAGCGAAAGCAUUAAGCAUCCCACCUGGGGAGUAC